CAAUAGCGUAUAUUUAAGUUGCUGCAGUUAAAAAGCUCGUAGUUGGAUUACGGGUGGGAAUGGCCGGUCCGCCGUUUCGGUGUGCACUUGCUACGCCCACCUUGCUGCCGGGGACGUGCUCUUGAGUUCACGCUCGGGACACGGAGUCGGCGAGGUUACUUUGAGUAAAUUAGAGUGUUCAAAGCAGGCCUACGCUCUGAAUACAUUAGCAUGGAAUAACACGAUAGGACUCUGGCCUAUCUUGUUGGUCUGUAGGACCGGAGUAAUGAUUAAGAGGGACAGUCGGGGGCAUUCGUAUUUCAUUGUCAGAGGUGAAAUUCUUGGAUUUAUGAAAGACGAACUACUGCGAAAGCAUUUGCCAAGGAUGUUUUCAUUAA
RNAcentral lists this ribosomal RNA (377 nucleotides) under uncultured eukaryote. RNAcentral's name for it is "partial 18S ribosomal RNA". It matches the Rfam family "Eukaryotic small subunit ribosomal RNA", at positions 592 to 976 of the family's 1831-position model. The record is from RNAcentral.